This 789-nucleotide ribosomal RNA is filed under the name uncultured archaeon. Its description in RNAcentral is "bacterial SSU rRNA". It matches the Rfam family "Archaeal small subunit ribosomal RNA", at positions 85 to 879 of the family's 1478-position model. The record is from RNAcentral.
ACUGCUCAGUAACACGUGGACAACCUACCCUACGGAGGGGGAUAACCCCGGGAAACUGGGGAUAAUACCCCAUAGACUAUGGAUGCUGGAAUGCUCUGUAGCCGAAAGGUCCGCCGCCGUAGGAUGGGUCUGCGGCCGAUUAGGUUGUUGUUGGGGUAACGGCCCAACAAGCCUGUAAUCGGUACGGGUUGUGGGAGCAAGAGCCCGGAGAUGGAUUCUGAGACACGAAUCCAGGCCCUACGGGGCGCAGCAGGCGCGAAAACUUUGCAAUGCGGGAAACCGUGACAAGGGAACUCUGAGUGCCCGUAAAAUCGGGCUGUCCAUCGGUUUAAAUAACCGGUGAAGAAAGGGCCGGGCAAGACCGGUGCCAGCCGCCGCGGUAAUACCGGCGGCUCGAGUGGUGGCCACUAUUACUGGGCUUAAAGCGUUCGUAGCUGGUUUGUUAAGUCUCUGGGGAAAUCUUCCGGCUUAACCGGAAGGCGUCUCAGGGAUACUGGCAGACUAGGGACCGGGAGAGGUGAGAGGUACUCCAGGGGUAGGAGUGAAAUCCUGUAAUCCUUGGGGGACCACCUGUGGCGAAGGCGUCUCACCAGAACGGCUCCGACAGUGAGGGACGAAAGCUGGGGGAGCAAACCGGAUUAGAUACCCGGGUAGUCCCAGCUGUAAACGAUGCGCGUUAGGUGUAUCGGUGACCACGAGUCACCGAGGUGCCGAAGAGAAAUCGUGAAACGUGCCGCCUGGGAAGUACGGUCGCAAGGCUGAAACUUAAAGGAAUUGGCGGGGGAGCAC